Molecule: ribosomal RNA, 669 nt
Filed under: Hynobius leechii (Gensan salamander)
Lineage: Eukaryota; Metazoa; Chordata; Amphibia; Caudata; Hynobiidae
Description: partial 16S ribosomal RNA
Rfam family: Bacterial large subunit ribosomal RNA
Source: RNAcentral
AUAGGAAGGAACUCGGCAAACAUUGAACUUCGCCUGUUUACCAUUUCGAUCGCCUCUUGCAAUUAAGGUAUAAGAGGUCCUGCCUGCCCAGUGACAUUAAGUUUAACGGGGGCCGCGGUAAUUAUGACCGUGCAAAGGUAGCGUAAUCACUUGUCUUUUAAAUAAAGACCAGUAUGAAUGGCAAGACGAAAGUUCAACUGUCUCCCUAAAUUAAUCAGUGAAAUUGAUUUCUCCGUGCAGAAGCGGAGAUAAAAUUAUAAGACGAGAAGACCCUAUGGAGCUUUAAACAUAUAAUCAAUUGUAUUCCAUAAAAUCCGAAAGAUAAUAAAAUAUAAAAUAAAACAAUAUGAUAAAAUUUUAGGUUGGGGCGACCACGGAGAAAAACAAAACCUCCGAGAUGAAAAGAAUAUCUUAAUUUAAGAACCACAAUUCCAAAAAUAAAAUAUUUAACAUAAUUGAUCCAAUAUUUGAUCAACGAACCAAGUUACCCUAGGGAUAACAGCGCAUCCUCUCCAAGAGUCCCUAUCGACGAGUGGGUUUACGACCUCGAUGUUGGAUCAGGACCCCCCGAUGGUGCCAGCCGCUAUAAAGGUUCGUUUGUCAACGUUUAAAGUCCUACGUGAUCUGAUUCAGACCGGAGUAAUCCAGGUCAGUUUUAUCUAUAAAAAU